AUUGAACGCUGGCGGCAGGCCUAACACAUGCAAGUCGAACGGUAACAGGAAGAAGCUUGCUUCUUUGCUGACGAGUGGCGGACGGGUGAGUAAUGUCUGGGAAACUGCCUGAUGGAGGGGGAUAACUACUGGAAACGGUAGCUAAUACCGCAUAACGUCGCAAGACCAAAGAGGGGGACCUUCGGGCCUCUUGCCAUCGGAUGUGCCCAGAUGGGAUUAGCUAGUAGGUGGGGUAACGGCUCACCUAGGCGACGAUCCCUAGCUGGUCUGUGAGGAUGACCAGCCACACUGGAACUGAGACACGGUCCAGACUCCUACGGGAGGCAGCAGUGGGGAAUAUUGCACAAUGGGCGCAAGCCUGAUGCAGCCAUGCCGCGUGUAUGAAGAAGGCCUUCGGGUUGUAAAGUACUUUCAGCGGGGAGGAAGGGAGUAAAGUUAAUACCUUUGCUCAUUGACGUUACCCGCAGAAGAAGCACCGGCUAACUCCGUG
This 490-nucleotide ribosomal RNA is filed under the name uncultured bacterium. Its description in RNAcentral is "partial 16S ribosomal RNA". It matches the Rfam family "Bacterial small subunit ribosomal RNA", at positions 30 to 507 of the family's 1533-position model. The record is from RNAcentral.